Long non-coding RNA from Carcharodon carcharias (great white shark), 301 nucleotides. RefSeq lists it as uncharacterized. Lineage: Eukaryota; Metazoa; Chordata; Chondrichthyes; Lamniformes; Lamnidae. The record is from RefSeq and is a predicted model, not a curated record. The transcript has 3 exons.
CAAAGAACAGAAUAGCCCCAAACAUUACAUUGCUGUAGUGUUUCCAUCCCUCCCUCCUCCUCAAACCAAAAAAAAGAGAGAGGGAGAGGCAGUACCUUCAGGAGUGUACCAGACCUGUGAGGGAUACUUUUCCAAAAAUGGAUUUUUUUUAAAAAGCAGCUGAUUGUGGCAUUCUGCCUCUUUAAAUGUACAGACUUCGGGUGCAUGAUUUCCUCCACAACAGUAACACUUCAACUUCUGGAUUACUGCGAACAAGGUUACAGGGGAUAUGUCGCAGAGUCCGCAGCUCAGCCUCCAGCAC